RNAcentral lists this ribosomal RNA (253 nucleotides) under uncultured bacterium. RNAcentral describes it as "partial 16S ribosomal RNA". It matches the Rfam family "Bacterial small subunit ribosomal RNA", at positions 524 to 776 of the family's 1533-position model. The record is from RNAcentral.
UACAGAGGGGGCAAGCGUUAUUCGGAAUUAUUGGGCGUAAAGGGCGCGUAGGCGGCCUGGCAAGUGGAAGGUGAAAUCCCUCGGCUUAACCGAGGAACUGCCUCCCAAACUGCUUGGCUUGAGACCAGGAGAGGUGAGUGGAAUUCCCAGUGUAGCGGUGAAAUGCGUAGAUAUUGGGAGGAACACCAGUGGCGAAGGCGGCUCACUGGACUGGUACUGACGCUGAGGAGCGAAAGCCAGGGGAGCAAACGGG